Molecule: long non-coding RNA, 236 nt
Filed under: Capsicum annuum
Lineage: Eukaryota; Viridiplantae; Streptophyta; Magnoliopsida; Solanales; Solanaceae
Description: long non-coding RNA (CANN_LNC017945)
Source: RNAcentral
AGGUAUCCUUGGGAGAUCAUCCAAAAAGAUAUCAAAAAACUCAUUAACAACGUUAACAAACUGGAGCGUUGGAUUCUCAGACUUAGUAUCUUUGAAUCUAACCAAAUGUUAAUUAAACCCCUUGGAAAUAAGCUUUCUAGCUUUGAGGUAAGAGAUAAAAUGACUCUUAGGUGACAUAGAAUUCCUAGACCACUCAAACACGGAUGCACCCAAAAACUGAAACUUGACCACUCGAG